This 781-nucleotide ribosomal RNA is filed under the name uncultured organism. Its description in RNAcentral is "bacterial SSU rRNA". It matches the Rfam family "Bacterial small subunit ribosomal RNA", at positions 21 to 840 of the family's 1533-position model. The record is from RNAcentral.
GGCUCAGGAUGAACGCUGGCGGCGUGCCUAAGGUAUGCAAGUCGAACGAAUCCCGAUUCGUCGGGAAGAGUGGCAGACGGCUGAGUAACGCGUGGGAAUUCCCUUGAACUCGAGCAUAGCCCUGCGAAAGCAGGAGUAAUUCUCGAUAGUCCCUCCGGGGUAAAGAUUUUUCGGUUCAAGAUAAGCCCGCGUCUUAUCAGGUAGUUGGUAAGGUAAAAGCUUACCAAGCCUAUGACGAGUAGCUGGUCUGAGAGGAUGGUCAGCCAGACUGGGACUGCGAAACGGCCCAGACUCCUACGGGAGGCAGCAAUUAGGAAUCGUGCGCAAUGGACGAAAGUCUGACGCCGCGACGCCGCGUGGAGGAAGAAGGCCUACGGGUUGUAAACUCCUUUUAUUGGGGAACAAAUUUUGAGUGUACCCUUUGAAUAAGCACCUGCUAACUACGUGCCAGAAGCAUCGGUAAUACGUAGGGUGCAAGCGUUAUCCGGAUUUACUGGGCGUAAAGAGAUGCGUAGGCGAUUUGGUAAGUUUGAUGUCAAAUCUUGAGGCUUAACCUCAAAAUUGCAUUAAAUACUAUCAGAAUUGAGAUAGGUAGAGGAGAGGGGAAUUCCUGGUGGAGCGGUUAAAUGCGUAGAUAUCAGGAGGAACACCGUUGGCGAAGGCGCCUCUCUGGACCUUUUCUGACGCUGAGGCUCGAAAGCGUGGGUAGCGAAACGGAUUAGAUACCCGUGUAGUCCACGCCGUAAACGAUCCCUGCUAGAUGUUCGAUUUGUAGAAGUUU